This 202-nucleotide ribosomal RNA is filed under the name Escherichia coli. RNAcentral's name for it is "partial 16S ribosomal RNA". It matches the Rfam family "Bacterial small subunit ribosomal RNA", at positions 77 to 279 of the family's 1533-position model. The record is from RNAcentral. Lineage: Bacteria; Pseudomonadati; Pseudomonadota; Gammaproteobacteria; Enterobacterales; Enterobacteriaceae.
AGCUUGCUGUUUCGCUGACGAGUGGCGGACGGGUGAGUAAUGUCUGGGAAACUGCCUGAUGGAGGGGGAUAACUACUGGAAACGGUAGCUAAUACCGCAUAACGUCGCAAGACCAAAGAGGGGGACCUUCGGGCCUCUUGCCAUCGGAUGUGCCCAGAUGGGAUUAGCUAGUAGGUGGGGUAACGGCUCACCUAGGCGACGA